Non-coding RNA from Ovis aries (sheep), 74 nucleotides. NCBI's taxonomy places the organism in Eukaryota, Metazoa, Chordata, Mammalia, Artiodactyla, Bovidae. The record is from Rfam.
UCCCUGGUGGCUCAGAUGGUAAAAGCGUCUGCCUCGAGUGCAGGAGACCCGGGUUCGAUCUCUGGGUCAGGAAG